GAUGAAGAACGCAGCGAAAUGCGAUAAGUAAUGUGAAUUGCAGAAUUCAGUGAAUCAUCGAAUCUUUGAACGCACAUUGCGCCCCCCAGUAUUCUGGCGGGCAUGCCUGUUCGAGCGUCAUUUCAACCAUCAAGCCCCAGGCUUGUGUUGGAGCCCUGCGGCUGCCGCAGCCUCCCAAAACCAGUGGCGGGCUCGCUAUCACACCGAGUGCAGUAGUUUACUCUUCGCUCAGGGCGUGUGGCGGGUGCUAGCCGUAAAACCCCCAACUUCUCAAGGUUGACCUCGGAUCAGGUAGGAAUACCCGCUGAACUUAAGCAUAUCAAUAAGCGGAGGA
Molecule: unclassified non-coding RNA, 334 nt
Filed under: soil metagenome
Description: partial contains 5.8S ribosomal RNA, internal transcribed spacer 2, and large subunit ribosomal RNA
Rfam family: 5.8S ribosomal RNA (bases 1-120)
Source: RNAcentral